AACGCGAAGAACCUUACCAGGUCUUGACAUCCUCUGAAAACCCUAGAGAUAGGGCUUCUCCUUCGGGAGCAGAGUGACAGGUGGUGCAUGGUUGUCGUCAGCUCGUGUCGUGAGAUGUUGGGUUAAGUCCCGCAACGAGCGCAACCCUUGAUCUUAGUUGCCAUCAUUAAGUUGGGCACUCUAAGGUGACUGCCGGUGACAAACCGGAGGAAGGUGGGGAUGACGUCAAAUCAUCAUGCCCCUUAUGACCUGGGCUACACACGUGCUACAAUGGACGGUACAAAGAGCUGCAAGACCGCGAGGUGGAGCUAAUCUCAUAAAACCGUUCUCAGUUCGGAUUGUAGGCUGCAACUCGCCUACAUGAAGCUGGAAUCGCUAGUAAUCGCGGAUCAGCAUGCCGCGGU
This 404-nucleotide ribosomal RNA is filed under the name Bacillus sp. F2(2011). Its description in RNAcentral is "bacterial SSU rRNA". It matches the Rfam family "Bacterial small subunit ribosomal RNA", at positions 958 to 1363 of the family's 1533-position model. The record is from RNAcentral. Lineage: Bacteria; Bacillati; Bacillota; Bacilli; Caryophanales; Bacillaceae.